GGGCGAUUAGCUCAGCGGCAGAGCGUCUCGCUUACACCGAGAAGGUCGGAGGUUCGAAUCCUCCAUCGCCCACCA
RNAcentral lists this transfer RNA (75 nucleotides) under Pseudomonadota bacterium. RNAcentral's name for it is "tRNA-Val". It matches the Rfam family "tRNA". From Rfam's summary of the family: Transfer RNA (tRNA) molecules are approximately 80 nucleotides in length. Their secondary structure includes four short double-helical elements and three loops (D, anti-codon, and T loops). RNAcentral also lists the same sequence under 3 other names. Lineage: Bacteria; Pseudomonadati; Pseudomonadota. The record is from RNAcentral.